UAAGAAAAAUUAUAUGUUUCCCGAAUUUGGGAUAAAUUAUUCAUACUUCAAAAUUAUUUCAAAAUUAAUUAAACAAUUCCCCACAAUUAAUUCAAUUAUCAACCCAAUGAUUUAUUUACAAAACCCAAAUUCUCCACCUUAUCUCUCAAAUUAAUAUUCUAAAGCCCCAAAACAAUUUUCAAAGUCAACACCCAUAAACUUCUAAAGCCUAAAGAAAUUUAAAUGAAGCCCAUACUUUAAUAAUCCAUCAACUCCAAUUAAUGAGGCCAAAAUUUUAAAAGAAAACAAAAGGUUCAAAACAUUUUAUUUUUAGCACAAGGCCAAAGGGCUCAAUUUCAUUAAAUAAGGCAAUGGCUAUUUUUUAAAUGAAUUAAGAGAGGCCCAAAUCCUUAGAAAAUAGAAGCCCAAAACCCCCUUUUUUUUACAACACAAAUGGCCCAAAAGCAAAGCCCAAAAUUAUUUCAUAAAGGGCUAGGCCCAACAUUCUAUUUCUCUAUUUCCUUUAGCCCAAAAAAUUAGUUAAAUUUCGAAAUGGGCCUAAUAUUUCCGAUGCAUCGCAGCCCCUAAAUAAUUUGAAAGAGGUUGGGCUCGGAUUUAUUUUGCAUAGCCUAAUGCUAAUUAUUUUAAUGGCCCAAAACCAUUUAAAAUCAAAGGCCCAAAUUCUUUAAAAAUCAACAAGCCCAACAAAAAGGCCCAAAAUCAAUUAAUUCAUUAGCCCACAACUUAAGCCAAAUUAAAGAAACCAUAGGUUAAAGACCUAAGUCUUCUUCUUCCUCAUUUCACAAAUACGCAGCACCCUCUCCUCUCUCACUUUCUCUCUUCCUCAUCUCACGUUCAAAUCAGCCGCCGCAGCGGAUCCGCCUCUGUCGCACAGAGCCGCAGCCGCUGCUGCUGGACGCCAACGCCGCCGCUGCUCUCCGCACGCUGCUGUACCGUCGAAAAGCGCCGCUGCUCCAUCGCCCGUCGGGUUCGGUCAGCGCCGGUGCCCCGAAACCACCCCAAAACGUCCCACAUCUAACCCGACAACCCCGCACAAUCCCGAAACAACUCCGAUUCAACCCGAAACAGCCCCGCAGGUAUAAUCGGUUCAAGUUCGUGGCUAUCCACGUUGAAGUACCUGAUUUUCGUAGAACGCAGGAUGUAUAGAUUAAAUUUUGUUGGACUUUUGUUGGAUGUAACGGACAUCAAAAUUUUUAUUUUGGGAUCUUAUUUAUUUAUUUAUUUAAAUUUCUUAUAUUCA
Molecule: long non-coding RNA, 1240 nt
Organism: Salvia splendens (bonfire salvia)
Lineage: Eukaryota; Viridiplantae; Streptophyta; Magnoliopsida; Lamiales; Lamiaceae
Exons: 2
Source: RefSeq, a predicted model, not a curated record